AGAGUUUGAUCAUGGCUCAGAUUGAACGCUGGCGGCAGGCCUAACACAUGCAAGUCGAACGGUAACAGGAAGCAGCUUGCUGCUUCGCUGACGAGUGGCGGACGGGUGAGUAAUGUCUGGGAAACUGCCUGAUGGAGGGGGAUAACUACUGGAAACGGUGGCUAAUACCGCAUAACGUCGCAAGACCAAAGAGGGGGACCUUCGGGCCUCUUGCCAUCAGAUGUGCCCAGAUGGGAUUAGCUUGUUGGUGAGGUAACGGCUCACCAAGGCGACGAUCCCUAGCUGGUCUGAGAGGAUGACCAGCCACACUGGAACUGAGACACGGUCCAGACUCCUACGGGAGGCAGCAGUGGGGAAUAUUGCACAAUGGGCGCAAGCCUGAUGCAGCCAUGCCGCGUGUAUGAAGAAGGCCUUCGGGUUGUAAAGUACUUUCAGCGGGGAGGAAGGUGUUGCGGUUAAUAACCGCAGCAAUUGACGUUACCCGCAGAAGAAGCACCGGCUAACUCCGUGCCAGCAGCCGCGGUAAUACGGAGGGUGCAAGCGUUAAUCGGAAUUACUGGGCGUAAAGCGCACGCAGGCGGUCUGUCAAGUCGGAUGUGAAAUCCCCGGGCUCAACCUGGGAACUGCAUUCGAAACUGGCAGGCUUGAGUCUUGUAGAGGGGGGUAGAAUUCCAGGUGUAGCGGUGAAAUGCGUAGAGAUCUGGAGGAAUACCGGUGGCGAAGGCGGCCCCCUGGACAAAGACUGACGCUCAGGUGCGAAAGCGUGGGGAGCAAACAGGAUUAGAUACCCUGGUAGUCCACGCCGUAAACGAUGUCUACUUGGAGGUUGUGCCCUUGAGGCGUGGCUUCCGGAGCUAACGCGUUAAGUAGACCGCCUGGGGAGUACGGCCGCAAGGUUAAAACUCAAAUGAAUUGACGGGGGCCCGCACAAGCGGUGGAGCAUGUGGUUUAAUUCGAUGCAACGCGAAGAACCUUACCUGGUCUUGACAUCCACAGAACUUUCCAGAGAUGGAUUGGUGCCUUCGGGAACUGUGAGACAGGUGCUGCAUGGCUGUCGUCAGCUCGUGUUGUGAAAUGUUGGGUUAAGUCCCGCAACGAGCGCAACCCUUAUCCUUUGUUGCCAGCGAUUAGGUCGGGAACUCAAAGGAGACUGCCAGUGAUAAACUGGAGGAAGGUGGGGAUGACGUCAAGUCAUCAUGGCCCUUACGACCAGGGCUACACACGUGCUACAAUGGCGCAUACAAAGAGAAGCGACCUCGCGAGAGCAAGCGGACCUCAUAAAGUGCGUCGUAGUCCGGAUUGGAGUCUGCAACUCGACUCCAUGAAGUCGGAAUCGCUAGUAAUCGUGGAUCAGAAUGCCACGGUGAAUACGUUCCCGGGCCUUGUACACACCGCCCGUCACACCAUGGGAGUGGGUUGCAAAAGAAGUAGGUAGCUUAACCUUCGGGAGGGCGCUUACCACUUUGUGAUUCAUGACUGGGGUGAAGUCGUAACAAGGUAACCGUAGGGGAACCUGCGGUUGGAUCACCU
Molecule: ribosomal RNA, 1530 nt
Filed under: Salmonella enterica
Lineage: Bacteria; Pseudomonadati; Pseudomonadota; Gammaproteobacteria; Enterobacterales; Enterobacteriaceae
Also listed under: 2 other names
Description: bacterial SSU rRNA
Rfam family: Bacterial small subunit ribosomal RNA
Source: RNAcentral